CUGGAAACGGUAGCUAAUACCGCAUAACGUCGCAAGACCAAAGAGGGGGACCUUCGGGCCUCUUGCCAUCGGAUGUGCCCAGAUGGGAUUAGCUAGUAGGUGGGGGUAAAGGCUCACCUAGGCGACGAUCCCUAGCUGGUCUGAGAGGAUGACCAGCCACACUGGAACUGAGACACGGUCCAGACUCCUACGGGAGGCAGCAUG
RNAcentral lists this ribosomal RNA (204 nucleotides) under uncultured bacterium. Its description in RNAcentral is "partial 16S ribosomal RNA". It matches the Rfam family "Bacterial small subunit ribosomal RNA", at positions 150 to 353 of the family's 1533-position model. The record is from RNAcentral.